Molecule: transfer RNA, 86 nt
Filed under: Lewinella sp. 4G2
Lineage: Bacteria; Pseudomonadati; Bacteroidota; Saprospiria; Saprospirales; Lewinellaceae
Rfam family: tRNA
About the family: Transfer RNA (tRNA) molecules are approximately 80 nucleotides in length.
Source: Rfam by way of RNAcentral
GCCCGGAUGGCGGAAUUGGUAGACGCGCCAGACUUAAAAUCUGGUUUCCAGUACUGGAAGUACGGGUUCGACCCCCGUUCCGGGUA